GACGAACGCUGGCGGCGUGCUUAACACAUGCAAGUCGAACGGAAAGGCCCUGCUUUUGUGGGGUGCUCGGGUGGCGAACGGGUGAGUAACACGUGAGUAACCUGCCCUUGACUUUGGGAUAACUUCAGGAAACUGGGGCUACUACCGGAUAUGAGCUCCUGCUGCACGGUGGGGGUUGGAAAGUUUCGGCGGUUGGGGUUGGACUCGCGGCUUAUCAGCUUGUUGGUGGGGUAGUGGCUUACCAAGGCUUUGACGGGUAGCCGGCCUGAGAGGUGGACCGGCGACAUGGGGCCUGCGAUACGGGCCAGACGCCUACGGGAGGCAUGAGUGGGGAAUAUUGCACAAUGGGAGGAAGCCUGAGGCAGCAACGCCGCGUGCGGGAUGACGGCCUUCGGGUUGUAAACCGCUUUCGCCUGUGACGAAGCGUGAGUGACGGUAAUGGGUAAAGAAGCACCGGCUAACUACGUG
Molecule: ribosomal RNA, 468 nt
Filed under: uncultured bacterium
Lineage: Bacteria
Description: partial 16S ribosomal RNA
Rfam family: Bacterial small subunit ribosomal RNA
Source: RNAcentral